RNAcentral lists this ribosomal RNA (113 nucleotides) under Collinsella tanakaei. Its description in RNAcentral is "partial 16S ribosomal RNA". It matches the Rfam family "Bacterial small subunit ribosomal RNA", at positions 1430 to 1533 of the family's 1533-position model. The record is from RNAcentral. Lineage: Bacteria; Bacillati; Actinomycetota; Coriobacteriia; Coriobacteriales; Coriobacteriaceae.
CCGGCCCAACCGCAAGGGGGGAGGCGUCGAAGGUGUGGAGGGUGAGGGGGGUGAAGUCGUAACAAGGUAGCCGUACGGGAACGUGCGGCUGGAUCACCUCCUUUCUAGGGAGA